AGACACCGGUAUAUUCGAUAAAAAGGUACUUUAGUUUUGUGAGCUUGGCGAUAGUGGGCUGAAUUGGGCCUGUGAGCCUGGAAAGUUUAUGGAAUUCGAGGUUUUCGAGAUAUGGGAGGUCACCGAUGGACGGGGNNNNNNNNNNNNNNNNNNNNNNNNNNNNNNNNNNNNNNNNNNNNNNNNNNNNNNNNNNNNNNNACGGGGGUAUGUGGCCCGAGAGAUUUGUGUCUGGCACAGAAGAUUUCAUAAUUAAGGCCGUGAUACGAUGCGUUUUGAUGUCGCACUUGACGCAAUACCAAUCACAACAGUCCGUUUGUGGAUUCCAUGAGGCUAGAAAGUAAGGGUUGUUGAGUUCCUUCUUGAAUCUGAGGAGUACCUUCUUGUCUUGAGGGUUACAUUUCUCAGAUGCAACUGGGGACAGUAGUAGUAGUGAGAGGAGACAUAAUGCUAGAACCAUUGCAGUUCCACCAAACUCGGUUCUCAUUUUUUGUUGUAAUUUGAACUUUAAUGGUAGGGCAGUGGGGUGGGAGAGAAUUGAUGGAACAUUGGUACUUAUAGGAAUAAUAAUGAGAAACACAUGACUUGUUAGUGUCCUGCAAUAAAAUAAACGGUAAUGCUAAACAGUGCCCUUGGGACACUAAUUAAACAUAUUAAAAAAAAAAAUAAAUGAUAAAGUAAAUAAUGGGAGAGAAUAACUUUUCACUUCAUUAAAACAUUGAAUGCACAAUUUACGAGAUAAAACUUCUAUAUUUGUAUCCGGAGGCACUGUUUAGCAUUUUUCCUAAAAUAAAAUAAUGAAUUACUGUAUAUAUUUAUGUCAAUAUCAAUUUUCUGUGCAUGCUUCAUCGUAACAUUGUGAAAGUUGUAAAUAGUACUUCUAUAACAAGUAAAUAAAGUCUAAAAAUAUAUUAUAUUUUAAAGAAUUGGAAAAAAUAAUUAAAAGAAAUUAAUUAGUCACUUGAACUCAAUAUAUUGAUAUAUUGUUUAUGUAAAAUUUUACAAUGUUACAACUAUCAUAAAUAUAAUUUUGGUAGAACUCGUUAUAAGUUUUAUAUGUGGUCAAGAUUAUAUAUGUUACUCAAAUACUAUAUCCGGUCAUAAAUAUAAGAGGAAAUUUACUUUUUAGAUUCAUUGAGAAUUUAAUGUAUCUGGUUCAUAAUAUGAACUAGAUGCAUUAGAUUCUCAAUGAAUCUAAAAAUCAAAAUUUCUCUUAUAUUUAGGACCCGAGAGAGUAUAAGUAUAUUGAUUAAUUAAUAUAUUUGAAAUAUAUUGUCAUAUAUUUUGUCCUUGAUUAUAUGUUACUCCCUAUGUGAUCAAAUACAUUAAUUAUCAUUGAUCGUUAGUUGAUUCAGUGAUGAUUGAUGCUGAACUUGGUGUAGGGAGUUCCACUGUUCGAUACCAGAUUAAACUUAUGGUAAAAGAAAAAAAACAAAACAUUAAUUAUUAAGUAAAUUUAAAAGGAUGAAUUUUACGUAUAUUUUGUUAGGGAGGAAGAUAUUUGGAUUCUCUUUGAUUUUCCUAAAAUAUAUUUAACUUAGAAAGCGAAAAUAUUGUAUAUCUAAUUGUAUUUAUGCGUGUUGUAAAAUAAAAAUACCUUAAAGUUUUGCUUAAAUAUAAAAAAUGUGAAAAAUUAAAACUUUAGAGAAUUAUGAUAAUUUUUGGAAAAUGCUAAACCGAGCACUAGUAAGGCAUAUUAAUAAGAAAAUUUUAGGCAAAAUUACAUUGUAUGUCCUUUAUUUUAUUUUUUUUGUAACACUUUGGUCCUUUAUGUUUUUUUUGUAACACUUUGGUCCUUUAUCAUUUCUUUUGUAACAUUUUGGUCCUUUAUCUUUUUUUAUAACACUUUGGUCCUUUAUUUUUUUUUAUUUGUAACAUAUAGGUCAUUUAUUUUUUAUAAAUAAAUAAGAUAAAGAACUAAAAUGUUAUAAAAAAAAAGACUAAAGUGUUACAAAUAAAAAAAGAUAAAAACUAAAGUGUUACAAAAAAAAAAUAAAGGAUCAAAGUGUUACAAAAAAAAGAUAAAGGAUUAAAUUGUUACAGAGAAAAGUUAAAAGAUCAAAGUNNNNNNNNNNNNNNNNNNNNNNNNNNNNNNNNNNNNNNAAGUGUUAAAAAAAAAAAAAAAGUGCAAAAAAAUUAUUUUUCUAUCCUUAAUUUUAUCUUUAAUUUUCAUUUUUAAUAUGAUUAAUAAAUAAAUGUCCUGAAUAUACUAUUUAGCCUGACCCAUAAUUUAUUUAUUAUAAAUAUAGUCAAAACAUAAACUACUUUAUAUAGUACGCAUUUAUUUUCUUAUACACAUCUUUUGAUAUGAGGAAGUACGUACUACUGUGCUAUACGACAAGUUAAAAGUGGUUUUGGCCCAACCAAAAUCUGUACUUGUACUUUACUCAUUUGUCUACACUAUGAUUAUGGGCUUUAUCCUUUCAUAAGAGAUCACGACUCACGAGGUGGGUUGUUCCAAUUCAAUUAUUGCGUGUAGCAGUGCCAUUUUCCUAUCACUGAGCUGUAUGGCAGUGAAGUAAGUAUACGUACCCUUCUACCAAAAUAAUUGUUUCAUUGAAAAUUGAAAAUGUCAAUUGUUUUGAGACUAAUGUUACGGUUCACAAUUUUUUUAAUAAAAAUAUGUUAUUUUAGAAAGGAGAGAGUGCAUUAUUAAACACAAAUGGUUUCCAAUGGUUUGUGUUGGGAUAGUGGGAGAUAUUUUUAGAUGGUCAUUUGAUUAAAGAUAUUAUAUUUGGUCACACUCAUAAAAUAAAAUAAGUNNNNNNNNNNNNGAGGGAGUGUUGAUGAAUAGUUGAGAAGUUUCAUUAAAUUUAUUGGUCAAGAAAAUGCUUAUGUGGUGGAGCUUUAGGGGUGCUAGUGCUAGAGGGCCUCAUUAGGGAGCUUAAUUUUUGAGUGGAAUUAGUAGUAGCAUUUAAGCUAGAUCUCUUGUUGAGAAAAUUCGUCAGUUUCUAGACUUGGAAUGGGACAAUCGUAGUUCAUUACUCUUAGAUUAUAUAAGAAACUAGUACAAUUGUAGCUCAACUUAGCAAUUUUUUUCUUCUUAAAAAAGGUUACAAAGAUGACAUUUAAGUCAUUCCAACUUAAUACCCCAAAUAAGUCACUAAGAAUGAUACAAGAAAAUAUAAAAAUUUAUCUGUCUCUUUAAAAACCUUAUCAAAGAUUCAAAAAGAGUACAUAGAUAAACUAAAGUACUAAACAUAAAUUCUUAUUCUUAGUUAUAAUCUCAUUGAGACAUGAGAUUCUUAGUAUUAUUAGCAAGUUUUCAUAAUCACUUGCAUUUUGAAAGUGGUGCUCCACACAAACACUUGUUAUGAAGAUAAGCAUACUUAUCAAAAUUAUCCUGCAAUCUUUUCGUCCCACCUUGAGGUAUCUGACCACACAACUUAUUAUAACUCACAUUAAACUGUUGCAAUUCCACUUUCGCCAAUUCAACCGGAAGCUUACCAUAAAUGUUAUUAUGAUUAAUAUCCAACCAUAUCAAACUCUUAAUCGGAAAUUGAACUUUCGAAAAAUCAAACGACAAUAAAUUCCUCGAAAUGUCAAUCUUUUGUGUCUUUUUCUUGCUCCCGAAAAGCACGGAAGCAUCGCCUACGAGCUUGUUCCUCGACAAGUCUAUCCUCUCUGGGUCAAUUUGGCCCAAUGAGGUUGGAAUAGUUCCAGAAAGCUGGUUGCGGGAUAGAAUAAUAUCUGGCCCGGGCUUUUUAAAUGAACCAAAUGAUUCUGGAAUUGUGCCCGUGAGCUUGUUUCCGUCCAAGCGUAAGGAAGUGAGUUUAGGCAAUUGAGAAAGUGAGCUUGGUAUUGGGCCUGAGAGGUAGUUGCCAGUAAGGUGAAGAAGUAUGAGGUUUUUAAGUUGGGCCAAAAAAGGCGGUACUGGGCCUGAGACAUUGGUAUAUUCGAUAAAAAGAUAUUUUAAAUUUUUGAGCUUAGCGAUUGUGGGCGGAAUUGGGCCUGUGAGAUAAGGUAGUCUAUGGAAUGAGAGACUUUGGAGGUAAGGUAGGUCACCUACCGAAGGAGGGAUAUGGCCCGUAAGAUUGGUGAAUACAGGGCUAUCUCUAAUAGAGAGGGAGAUUAUACGGUCUGUUAUUUCAUCACAUUGGAUGAGGUACCAGCCACAACAAGGUGUUUUUGGAUCCCAUGAGGCUAGAAGGUAAGGGUUGUUAAGAUCUUUUUUGAUUUGGAGUAACACUUUCUUAUCUUGUGAGUUGCAAUCUUUUAUUGGUGUAAUUGGUGUAAUUGGCAUGACAGAGAGAGAUUGAGAGGAUUGUGGAGGAGACGAUCCAAAUCCAAGUGGAGAGAGUGACAAAAGGGAGAGGAGGGUGAGAGUGAGAGCUAUUGUAGCUCUACAAAACAUGGUUUCUAUUUUUGGUUGGAAUAUUAUAAUGUUGAAUGAUACUAUUAAGUGGGAGAAUUGGUGUUUUUAUAGAAUUUAAUUAGAAAAACAUGCUAAACGUGACUUAUUAGUAUGGUGUGGAAGAAAACAGUGUAUGGAUAAGGGAAAGAUUUUUACUGACAAAAAGAUAAGGAAAAUCUAAAAUGGAAUGAUUGUGUAUUUUUGUUUGUUCUCUAUGGUAAAUACUAGUGGUAAAUAUUAUGCUCAGUCCAACUUAUUUCUAACUUAUUAGUAAUUCAUAAUGUUAAAAUAAAUUGUUUCUCUUUCAUGCUUUUCACUUUAUACAUAUUUUAAAAAUAUAUAAAAUAUCAUAUGACAACAAAUUUUUCAUAUUCAAAUAUCAUUUUUUUUUUUAUGAAACAUAUGUAAGUAUAGAAAGUAAAAAUUAUAAACGAAAUAGAAAAAAAAAUAAAAAUACUAUAUGUUAUCAAAUUCUAAAUAUGUGUGAAUUUUUUAGUUGAUGUCAUAUAUACCUCAUCAACUAAGUCUUUGGUUGAUGAUGUGUUCAAAGGUAAAACCGGUGGUUUACAUGGGCACACCGCACAUGGUUAUUCUUUACAUAUGUACUUCCAUCUGUGACAAUAUAAAUUAAGAAUAUAAAAAGUAUUUAACCGUGCAUAAAUCAAUAUUUUUAAUAAAAAGCAUGUGUUUCUAUCUUGCAGAACUUUUGGUUCUCUUUGGCCUCUUGUCAGUUUGUGGAUUGACUCCUCUCUAGUGACUGCUCAGGCUAUUUCGGAUCACUUUAUUCAAUUUACUAUUUCAGUAGGGGUUUCUUGUGCACGACGUUCAUUCAUGCAACUCAUAUGACUUGCUUGCGUGUGGGUUGUGUGGACUGAACGAAACCAUUGAUUGUUUAGAGGCUCGACACAUUCAGUAAUCAGAUGUUGGACAAGAUUAGGUCUUUCUCUUAUAGGUGGUUAAAAGCGACGAGUAGUACUUUAGUUUUGAACAGCAAUAAUUGAUGGUCUAGUCCUAUGUUUUGUUUGGACCUUGUAUAAUUUUCCUUAUGAUUUUAUUUUUUGUAUUUUGAUCUCUCUUGUAACUUUAUAAUCUCUCUUGACACACCUUAUAUUAAGUAGAUUACUUUUUAUAUAUACAUAUGUCAUUUUGAUUUGUUAAAAAGAAAUAUUUUUUUUACACAUAGAUUUGAGAUAGUACUACUGUACGGGUACUAUACAAUAGUAUCCGAUAAAGGAGUUAAAGUUGUAACCAAGAAAAAAAGAUAAAGGAGUUAAAGUGGCUUUCGUCCCACCAAAAUUUGUACUCACUCAUUUUGUCUACACUUUCAUCAAUAAUGUUUUCUUUUUAGGCCUCUCAUAUAUCUUUUAUAUCCCCAAAUAUUUUAAUUUUGCUCUUGCUAAAAACUUCGGUUCGUAAAAAUCGAAAUUUUUUCUAGUUCAAAUUCAGGGAAAGUUCGGUUAACAAAGAUCGAAAAAAAAUUUCAAGGCAAAAAAAAUUUGGUUCGUAACAACCAAAAUUUUUAUUAAAGGGUAAAAAUAUAAAAUUCAGAAGGGAAAAAUGAACCAUGACGAACCUAAAGAGAAAACAUCUUCAUCAAUCAUCAUGGGCUUCAGGGAUUGUGUUCUUCAAUUUUCAUAAGAGGUCACAUGGUGGGUUGUUCAACUUCAAUUAUUGCUUGUAGCAGUGCCAUUUUCCUACUAUCACUAUGCUUUUAUGCCAUGCAUGCUGUAUCGCAAAGAAGUACUAUAUGAUGGUGGAUUUACUCCUUUCCUCCCAAAAUAGAUCAUUGAAUACACCACGUACCUUCAGUUAAUGAGCACGCUACCUUCAGUUUUGAACUUCAUUAAUUAACCACAAGUUUUUUAGUUAUUGAUCAAGUAUACAUUUUUUAUUGACACUAGUUAUUCAAGUAUACAUGAUUUAGAUAUGUUUGAAUAUAUAAUAUGAUAUUUAACAAAUUAAAUGAUUGAACUCAAGUGAUUAAUAAGGAUUAUUUAAGGAACAAAUUGUUGAAAAGAACUUUAGUUUGAUUUUUGAGUGAUAUCAUUUUUGUCUGACAUUACUUACGUGUCUCAAAUUUGCAUUAGGGAGUUGCUAAAUUUUACGAAGGAGUGUCAUAAGAAAGACAAGAAUUGUAUGUGUAUACUUGAACAAAUAAAAUUAAAGGUGCGAAGUAGGUAUUUUUGAGUGAUAUUAUUUUUGUCUGACAUUACUUACUCGUCUCAAGAUUUUUAGUAUGUGUAUAGUUUAAAUCAGCGGCACAUAUUCAUUCUUGCUUUUCGUCUCCACAAAGCUUCGUAAAGACCAACAUUUUCCUUUGCAUUAACAUGAUCUCUUUCUUCUAGAAACUCGAGAGUUUUACACACACAAAAAAAAAACACACCAUAAUAUUCAUUAAACACUUGACAUUGUAGUUCAAAUAUGCACUUGAAAAUCAUAGUUAAUUAUGUAAAAUAGAUGGUUAAUGAGUUACAACACUUUCUUAAAUUCAUUAAUCAACCACAUAUUUAAAUUGCAUUAACACUUAAAUUAUUGUUGAAUUUUAAUUUCAAAUUAAAUAUUAUUUCUUUUCAAUUUCUUUUUACGGUUUCUAAAACUCGAUAUCUCUAGCAUUAUUUCAGAAAUUAUAAAAAUGUGAAAACACUAUUUUUAUUGUAAAAAAAAAAAAACAUUAAUUGUUCCUAACAAGUGAUUGAACUUAAGUUAUUUAGGUUAGUGAUGCCGUAAACAAGAUUGGUCUCAUUCACAAUUUUCUUUAUUAAAACAGGCUCGUAAAUUAACCUUUGAAAAAUAAUUCUUAAUUUUAACCAAGGUUUUGCGAAGGGAAAAAAUAAUAUAUCACAUUAAUUUUAACAGAGUCGUUUUUAUUAUAAAGUUUUGAAAAAUAAAUUAACAAUUUCAUUUUGAAACCACACAAGUUUAAAACACUGAGGUUAAUUUAUAAUUCUUAAUUUUUUUUGGAUUUCACCACCAAUUUAAUCUGGUUCGGCAAUUAGUUCUGGCAUCAAAUAAUUUCAGCCUAUUCCGAUUGCAGUUGCUAUCAUUCUUAAUUUUAACAAGCUAAGGUUUUGCGAAGCGAAAAAAUAAUAUCACAUUAAAAGAAACUAUAACGGCAGCUCAACUUAGCAAUUGAACUUUGUCAAAAGAAAAAAAACUUAGCAAUUGAACAUUGAACAAAUUGCAUGCAAAUCAUAUCGUACUCAAAUACAAACUCUCAUUCUUAUGUCUCAUUGAAAACAUGAGAUUCAUUUAUUGUCAACUUAGCAAGUUUUCUUUUAUCACUUGCAUUUUGGAAGUGGUUUGCCACACAAACACUUGUUAUGAAGAUAAGCAUACUCAUCAAACCUGUCCUGCAAUCUCCCAGUUCCACCCUGAGGUAUCGCACCACACAAUCUAUUAUAACUCACAUUAAACUGCUGCAAAUUUUCGACUUUCGUCAAUGCAACCGGAAUCUUCCCAUAAAUCUUAUUAUGAUUAAUAUCUAACCAUAUCAAACUCUGUUUCGGAAAAUCAACUUUUGAAAAAUCAAAUGACAAUAAAUUCCUCGAAACAUCAAGUAUUUGUGUCUUUUUCUUGCUCCCGAAAAGCACAGAAGCAUCACCUUCAAAUUUGUUUCUCGACAAGUCUAUCCUAUCAGGAUCUAAUUGGCCCAAUGAAGCCGGAAUAGGCCCAGAAAGCUGGUUGUGAGAUAAGAUGAGAUCUGGGCCGGGCUUUUUGAAUGACCCAAAUGAUUCUGGAAUUGGGCCCGUGAGCUUGUUUCGGUCCAAGUGCAAGGACUCGAGUUUAGGCAAUUGGGAAAGUGAGCUUGGUAUUGGGCCUGAGAGGUUAUUGGUGGAAAGGUGAAGAAGUUGAAGGUUUUUAAGUUCGGCCAAGAAAGGCGGUAUUGAACCUGAGACAUUGGUAUAUUCGAUAAAAAGAUAUUUGAGAUUUUUUAGUUUAGCGAUUGCGGGCUGAAUUGGGCCUGUGAGAUAAGGUAGUUUAUGGAAUGUGAGAGAUUCAAGGUAAGGGAGGUCACCUACCGAAGGAGGGAUAUGGCCCGAGAAAUUGGUGAAUGCCGGGCUAUCCAAAAUAUCGAGGGAGAUGACACGGUUGGUUUUUUCAUCACACUGAAUGCUGUACCAGCCACAACAACCUGUUUUUGGAUCCCAUGAGGAUAAAAGGUAAGGGUUGUUGAAGUCUUUUUUGAUUUGGAGCAAUACUUUCUUGUCUU
RNAcentral lists this long non-coding RNA (8561 nucleotides) under Trifolium pratense (red clover). RNAcentral's name for it is "long non-coding RNA (TPRA_LNC014378)". Lineage: Eukaryota; Viridiplantae; Streptophyta; Magnoliopsida; Fabales; Fabaceae. The record is from RNAcentral.